AGGACGAACGCUGGCGGCGUGCUUAACACAUGCAAGUCGAGCGGUGAUCCUCCUUCGGGAGGUGAUCAGCGGCGAACGGGUGAGUAACACAUGGGCAACCUGCCCCUCACACUGGGAUAACCUCGGGAAACCGGGGCUAAUACCGGAUACGACCUCGAGCGGCAUCUCUUGAGGUGGAAAGCUCCGACGGUGAGGGAUGGGCCCGCGGCCUAUCAGCUUGUUGGUGGGGUAAUGGCCUACCAAGGCGACGACGGGUAGCCGGCCUGAGAGGGCGACCGGGCCACGACUGGGACUGAGACACGGCCCAGACUCCUACGGGAGGCAGCAGUGGGGAAUAUUGCGCAAUGGGCGAAAGCCUGACGCAGCGACGCCGCGUGAGGGAUGAAGGCCUUCGGGUUGUAAACCUCUUUCAGCAGGGACGAAGCGAAAGUGACGGUACCUGCAGAAGAAGCACCGGCUAACUACGUGCCAGCAGCCGC
Molecule: ribosomal RNA, 479 nt
Filed under: uncultured bacterium
Lineage: Bacteria
Description: SSU rRNA
Rfam family: Bacterial small subunit ribosomal RNA
Source: RNAcentral